This 73-nucleotide transfer RNA is filed under the name Felis catus (domestic cat). It matches the Rfam family "tRNA". Rfam says of the family: Transfer RNA (tRNA) molecules are approximately 80 nucleotides in length. Their secondary structure includes four short double-helical elements and three loops (D, anti-codon, and T loops). Lineage: Eukaryota; Metazoa; Chordata; Mammalia; Carnivora; Felidae. The record is from Rfam by way of RNAcentral. RNAcentral also lists the same sequence under 2 other names.
GCCUGGGUGGCUCAGUCAGUUGAGUAUCUGACUCUUGAUUUCAGGGUCGUGGGAUCAAGUCCCAUGUCAGGCU